GGAUAACCUGCCCUAUUGUCUGGAAUAACCUCGGGAAACUGAGAACAAGGCCGGAUAGCCCACAAUGCCUGGAACGGUUUGUGGGUGAAGAUAGGAUGGGUCUGCGGCGUAUCAGGUCGUAGGGGGUGUAAUGGACCUCCUAGCCAUCGACGCGUACGGGUGUUGGGAGACAUAGCCCGGAGAUGGAUUCUGAGACACGAAUCCAGACCCUACGGGGUGCAGCAGGCGCGAAAACUUCACACUGCAGGAAACUGUGAUGAGGGAACUCCAAGUGCUAUCACUAUGUGGUAGCUUUUCUUGACUAUUAAUCGGUCACGGAAUAAGGGCUGGGAAAGACCGGUGCCAGCCGCCGCGGUAAUACCGGCAGCUCAAGUGGUCGUCGCUUUUAUUGGGCCUAAAACGUCCGUAGCCUGUUUGGUAAAUCUGUGGGUAAAUCAACCAGCUUAACUGGUUGAAUUCUGCAGAGACUGCCAGACUAGGGACCGGGAGAGGUGUGGGGUACUCUAGUGGUAGGGGUAAAAUCCUGUCAUCCUUAGAGGACCACCAGUUGCGAAGGCGCCACACUGGAACGGAUCCGACGGUCAGGGACGAAGCCUAGGGGCACGAACCGGAUUAGAUACCCGGGUAGUCCUAGGUGUAAACGCUGUGAACUUGGUGUCGGGGAUCCGUAAUGGGUCCUCGGUGCCGGAGUGAAGAUGUUAAGUUCACUGCCUGGGGAGUACGGUCGCAAGGCUGAAACUU
Molecule: ribosomal RNA, 741 nt
Filed under: uncultured Candidatus Poseidoniales archaeon
Lineage: Archaea; Methanobacteriati; Thermoplasmatota; Candidatus Poseidoniia; Candidatus Poseidoniales
Description: bacterial SSU rRNA
Rfam family: Archaeal small subunit ribosomal RNA
Source: RNAcentral